RNAcentral lists this transfer RNA (74 nucleotides) under Pteropus alecto (black flying fox). It matches the Rfam family "tRNA". Rfam says of the family: Transfer RNA (tRNA) molecules are approximately 80 nucleotides in length. Their secondary structure includes four short double-helical elements and three loops (D, anti-codon, and T loops). Lineage: Eukaryota; Metazoa; Chordata; Mammalia; Chiroptera; Pteropodidae. The record is from Rfam by way of RNAcentral.
GACUCCAUAGUGUGGUGGUUAGCACGUCUGCUUUACACACAUAAGGUCCUGGGUUCGCGACCCAAGUGGAGCCA